CGACCGGCCACAUUGGGACUGAGAUACGGCCCAGACUCCUACGGGGGGCAGCAGUGGGGAAUAUUGCACAAUGGGCGCAAGCCUGAUGCAGCGACGCCGCGUGCGGGAUGACGGCCUUCGGGUUGUAAACCGCUUUUGACUGGGAGCAAGCCCUUCGGGGUGAGUGUACCUUUCGAAUAAGCACCGGCUAACUACGUGCCAGCAGCCGCGGUAAUACGUAGGGUGCAAGCGUUAUCCGGAAUUAUUGGGCGUAAAGGGCUCGUAGGCGGUUCGUCGCGUCCGGUGUGAAAGUCCAUCGCUUAACGGUGGAUCCGCGCCGGGUACGGGCGGGCUUGAGUGCGGUAGGGGAGACUGGAAUUCCCGGUGUAACGGUGGAAUGUGUAGAUAUCGGGAAGAACACCAAUGGCGAAGGCUGGCCUCUGGGCCGUCACUGACGCUGAGGAGCGAAAGCGUGGGGAGCGAACAGGAUUAGAUACCCUGGUAGUCCACGCCGUAAACGGUGGAUGCUGGAUGUGGGGACCAUUCCACGGUCUCCGUGUCGGAGCCAACGCGUUAAGCAUCCCGCCUGGGGAGUACGGCCGCAAGGCUAAAACUCAAAGAAAUUGACGGGGGCCCGCACAAGCGGCGGAGCAUGCGGAUUAAUUCGAUGCAACGCGAAGAACCUUACCUGGGCUUGACAUGUUCCCGACAGCCCCAGAGAUGGGGCCUCCCUUCGGGGCGGGUUCACAGGUGGUGCAUGGUCGUCGUCAGCUCGUGUCGUGAGAUGUUGGGUUAAGUCCCGCAACGAGCGCAACCCUCGCCCUGUGUUGCCAGCACGUCGUGGUGGGAACUCACGGGGGACCGCCGGGGUCAACUCGGAGGAAGGUGGGGAUGACGUCAGAUCAUCAUGCCCCUUACGUCCAGGGCUUCACGCAUGCUACAAUGGCCGGUGCAACGGGAUGCGACCUAGUGAGGGGGAGCGGAUCCCUUAAAACCGGUCUCAGUUCGGAUUGGAGUCUGCAACCCGACUCCAUGAAGGCGGAGUCGCUAGUAAUCGCGGAUCAGCAACGCCGCGGUGAAUGCGUUCCCGGGCCUUGUACACACCGCCCGUCAAGUCAUGAAAGUGGGUAGCACCCGAAGCCGGUGGCCCAACCUUUUUGGGGGGAGCCGUCUAAGGUGAGACUCGUGAUUGGGACUAAGUCGUAACAAGGUAGCCGUACCGGAAGGUGCGGCUG
This 1214-nucleotide ribosomal RNA is filed under the name metagenome. RNAcentral describes it as "bacterial SSU rRNA". It matches the Rfam family "Bacterial small subunit ribosomal RNA", at positions 301 to 1520 of the family's 1533-position model. The record is from RNAcentral.